This 68-nucleotide transfer RNA is filed under the name Chlorurus sordidus (daisy parrotfish). RNAcentral's name for it is "tRNA-Glu". It matches the Rfam family "tRNA". From Rfam's summary of the family: Transfer RNA (tRNA) molecules are approximately 80 nucleotides in length. Their secondary structure includes four short double-helical elements and three loops (D, anti-codon, and T loops). RNAcentral also lists the same sequence under 1 other name. The record is from RNAcentral. Lineage: Eukaryota; Metazoa; Chordata; Actinopteri; Labriformes; Labridae.
GUUUCUUUAGUUGAAUAACAACGGUGGUUUUUCAAGUCAUUGGUCCUGGUUAAAGUCCUGGAGGAAAU